Molecule: ribosomal RNA, 406 nt
Filed under: uncultured bacterium
Lineage: Bacteria
Description: partial 16S ribosomal RNA
Rfam family: Bacterial small subunit ribosomal RNA
Source: RNAcentral
AUUGAACGCUGGCGGCAGGCCUAACACAUGCAAGUCGAACGAGUGGCGGACGGGUGAGUAAUGUCUGGGAAACUGCCCGAUGGAGGGGGAUAACUACUGGAAACGGUAGCUAAUACCGCAUACCAUCGGAUGUGCCCAGAUGGGAUUAGCGAGUCGGUGGGGUAACGGCUCACCUAGGCGAGGAUACCUAGCGGGUCUGAGAGGAUGACAAGCCACACUGGAACUGAGACACGGUCCAGACUCCUACGGGAGGCAGCAGUGGGGAAUAUUGCACAAUGGGCGCAAGCCUGAUGCAGCCAUGCCGCGUGUAUGAAGAAGGCCUUCGGGUUGUAAAGUACUUUCAGCGAGGAGGCGUUACUCGCAGAAGAAGCACCGGCUAACUCCGUGCCAGCAGCCGCGGUAAUAC